AGAGUGAAGAAGAAGAGGAGGAAGAGGAAUGGCAAAGGGAAGAGAGAGAAGAGGGAGAAGGAAGAAGAGGAGGAGAUUAUGCACGACACUUGUUAAAAUUGCAACACUGAGACGGUAUUAGCAGCCCAGUUCUUCAUUUGAGAAGACCAAAGCACAGAGGGGCUAAGUGAUUUGCCCGGGCCCACACAGCUGGGUUGUUGCUGAGCCAGCAUUUGAAACCAGGCUACAUCCUUGAAUCUCAGCUUGGACUUGGUAUCAUUCAGAGUCCUACCAAGAGAAUCAAAACCACUUCAGGUAUUUCCUACAGAAAGAAUUUAAUGCAGGUGAAUUGUGUAUGCAGGUGACAAGAGAACUGAGAGCCCAACCCAGAAUGCUGAGACAUCCCAUAGAUAAGCAACAGCAGGGAGCUGUUCCCACCUGUACGCUAGAGGGAUAAAGGGAACGGGUGAUGUUACAGAGCCCAGGGGCCUGUCUGGCAGGAGAUGAAAAUACCAAGGUGACACAGCCAUUUCCAGAGAGGCUGUCAAACCAAAGAAGAGGGUGAAGGGGAGGAGGGAGGAAAAGAGAGCAGAGAAGGAGGAGAAAUAAUAGUAAUAAUAAUGAUACUCUGCUUCUCCCUCCCAGUGCCUCCACCACCAGUCUCUCAUGAAUGACUCUCCUUGUCAGGGCCCAGAUGGAAGCCAGCUGACAUGCAAGCCUGGGAACUGCAGCCUGCAGAGAUCAACAACCCCACGGAGUCACAGAGCAGAGCAGACAGACACACAGAAGAAAAGGCAAUGUGAAGACAAGACAGAGGCCGGAUGGAGGUGAUGCCACCACAAGCCAAG
Molecule: long non-coding RNA, 827 nt
Filed under: Homo sapiens (human)
Lineage: Eukaryota; Metazoa; Chordata; Mammalia; Primates; Hominidae
Description: HSALNT0330830
Source: RNAcentral